UUCCGGUUGAUCCCGCCGGACCUGACUGCUAUCGGAUUGAUACUAAGCCAUGCAAGUCUUUGUAGUAAUACAAGGCAUACGGCUCAGUAACGCGUAGUCAACCUACCCUAUGGAUGGGGAUAAUCUCGGGAAACUGAGCAUAAUACCCAACAGAUCAUCAAUUCUGGAAUGGUUGAUGAUUCAAAUGAUUUUUCGCCAUAGGAUGGGACUGCGACCUAUCAGCUUGUUGGUGAGGUAAUGGCCCACCAAGGCAAUUACAGGUACGGGCUCUGAGAGGAGAAGCCCGGAGAUGGGUACUGAGACAAGGACCCAGGCCCUAUGGGGCGCAGCAGGCGAGAAAACUUUGCAAUGUGCGAAAGCACGACAAGGUUAAUCCGAGUGAUUUCUGCUAAAGGAAUCUUUUACCAGUUCUAAAAAUACUGGCGAAUAAGGGGUGGGCAAGUUCUGGUGUCAGCCGCCGCGGUAAAACCAGCACCUCAAGUGGUCAGGAGGAUUAUUGGGCCUAAAGCAUCCGUAGCCGGCUCUGUAAGUUUUCGGUUAAAUCUAUAUGCUCAACGUAUAGGCUGCCGAAAAUACUGCACAGCUAGGGAAUGGGAGAGGUAGACGGUACUCGGUAGGAAGGGGUAAAAUCCUUUGAUCUAUCGAUGACCACCUGUGGCGAAGGCGGUCUACCAGAACAUGUUCGACGGUGAGGGAUGAAAGCUGGGGGAGCAAACCGGAUUAGAUACCCGGGUAGUCCCAGCUGUAAACGAUGCAGACUAGAUAAUGCACUGGCACAUAGCCAGUGCAGUGUCUCAGGGAAGCCGUUAAGUCUGCCGCCUGGGAAGUACGUACGCAAGUAUGAAACUUAAAGGAAUUGGCGGGGGAGCACCACAAGGGGUGAAGCCUGCGGUUCAAUUGGAUUCAACGCCGGG
This 914-nucleotide ribosomal RNA is filed under the name uncultured marine archaeon. RNAcentral describes it as "bacterial SSU rRNA". It matches the Rfam family "Archaeal small subunit ribosomal RNA", at positions 1 to 922 of the family's 1478-position model. The record is from RNAcentral.